GGACUACCAGGGUUUCUAAUCCUGUUUGCUCCCCUUGCUCUCGCGCCUCAGCGUCAGGUAUAAGCUAGAAAACCGCUUUCGCCACCGGUGUUCUUCCACAUAUCUACGCAUUUCACCGCUACACGUGGAAUUCCGUUUUCUCCGCCAAUCCUCCAGUUUAGUAGUUUCAAAUGCAGCUCCGAAGUUGAGCUUCGGAAUUUCACAUCUGACUUACUUAACCGCCUACGCGCCCUUUACGCCCAAUAAUUCCGAUUAAUGCUUGCACCCUCCGUAUUACCGCGGCUGCUGGCAC
This 292-nucleotide ribosomal RNA is filed under the name uncultured bacterium. RNAcentral's name for it is "partial 16S ribosomal RNA". The record is from RNAcentral.